CUCCUCCUCCUCCUCCUCCUCCUCCUCCUCCUCCCCUUUUCUGCAGCUCCGGUGGGAGACAACCAGCCCCCAAAAUGGCUGCCUGGGUGCCAGGGGGACCACAGGCUGCUCUCCCAUCUCCCAUAAUCACCGGGGCGAUGCUCGGAUGCCUUCGCCAUUUGCAUAAUGCCAUCCUGACACUUUCACUUCCGCCAUCCAUCACCGGCGGCGUGAGUCCCGCGGCCUGCUCCGUCGCUCCGUCUCCCCCUGAUUGCGUCCUGUGUUUAUCUGCCCAAGCACAAAAGAUUGAUUCCCCGCUGUCUCUCGGCCUUAUGUUCAGCAGAUAGGGAUUUUUGCCGAAUGAUGAAGCACCCAGUCAGCUAAUGAUAAACAGAAAACACAUAUUCAAAAGGAUGGUCUCUCCCCCCCCCUCCCUCCCUCUCCCCCUCUCCCCGGCGUUAGUGUGGCUGCUGCUCGCCUCGCCUGCUCCUCUGCCAUGUGUGGGGAAAGGAGGGAUGUCAGGUUAAGGAAGUGAACACACUCUGCAGGGAGUUCAAUUUGAAACGCAAUUGUUUUCCUGUCAGUCCUUUUACAUUUUUUCUGUUGAUUUGCUCCAGGGGUAAGAGAAAAUGAAGGACUGGGAGGAAAGUGAGAUAGCAAUUAAAAUAAAACUGUCGUCUUGAUGGCUGCUCUUGUUCUUCCACACGCCACGGUGCAGGCGGAUGUGACAGGCCACGCUUCAAGAACAUAUCCUGGCUGGAAGAUAAAAGCAGACACCAGCGCAGUCCAGUACCUUUUUAAGAGGACGGAAUUGGUACAAGAGGAUUCCUAUGGGCUGCUGCUCCAGAAAGAGGAACAUGCUAAACCCAAGUAAGCAUCAUGCAUUCAAUCAGCAAGCAUGAUGCCGCGUUUAACACCAACAUCAAGUGAAUGUACGUCGUAACAGAUGCACGUUUCAGUAUUACAUCCAUUGAACAUCUAAAAUGUUCUCGCAUCGUGUUAAUGAAGUGGGCUGGAGUCACAUUUCUUUAAACGCAGGCUACUCGCGCAGCUCUUAACACGAUGCUGUGGCUCGCUCCGCUAAUGCGACGCUGCUGUUUGCUACUGCGGAAUGUCAACGCAAAGUAUUUCAGCAAGUCGGCAAAGUUUCACUCCACGAUAACAAAAUACUAUUAGCUGCUGUCACGUACAGGAGAAGAGAGAUUAUUUUAUUUAUUGAAAUGAGAUUGAAAUGAUAAAUCUCUCUCCCCAUGAUAAAACACUGGGACUCAUAAGCCUAGUGUGGGGGAUAGGGAUUAGAAAAAGAUGGAGGCGAGAGAGACUGAGCGAGAGAGAGAGAGAGAGAGAGAGAGAAAAAGAGAGAGCGAGAGAGAGAGGAGAAGAAAUUCAUAAUGCAUAAUAAAACAAAAGGUGUCGUGGGAAACAUCACUGAUAUUAAAAUCAGAGGCAGACAGAUCUAUAUGAAAAAUGCAGAUUUGAAAAUGUAAAUAACUAUGGCCCUAGGGGGGGAGGGGGAGUGAUUCAAAGAUAGGAUGACAACAUGAAGAGAAAGGCAUUUAUAUGGGAGCUUUGAUGUUUCUCACAUCCAAAUUUAUGCUACUGACGACCAAAAUAAUGCCACAGAAGGGGGAUUUUACACAGUGCACUGCUUACCCGGGCUUCAUACCACGAUGAUAUAAAACACAUUAUGCUUCACAUUAUCCCAGUGUGACAAUGACUCGUAAUGAGAUGAUUCACAUUCAGGAGAGAUACUUAAGAUUGCAUUUUCAACAUUUCCAAACAACAACAUGUUAUCUUCACAUUAAAGCCCUGUUUUCCGAAACAAAGCGUUUGAUCCGUGUUCAAACGGGUGUUCCUUCAGUGGGAAAUCCCCACAGUGUGCCGAACCCCGGCCUGUCAGGAUGACCCCCUCACCUUCAUCCAAAUGCAGCCCAUAUUGCUUUGAUUCUCCGUCGGAGUUGAGCUGUCAAUCAAGAUCAGCAUGACAAUGGACCCUGGUAGGUGGAUGAAAUAUCUCUUUAAUAAAGCUGACUCUCAUCGUCAAUCAAGGGCAAACGAAGAUGCUUUUAAAAUAAUGCUGCCAUGGUGCCCAAAUGACAUGUUAAGUGAAAUAUGAAGGUGCUGGAACGUUCGGCUUACGAUACGUGAACAUGUUCUUUUGUUGUUCUUCCCGUUCGCAAAUCUAGAUCAUCGUUGGUGCUUUUUCUUUUCCCGAUUGCAUUUGACAGAAGGUUUGUGGGAGUGUGAGAAAACUAUAUUAGGACACCCUUGUGUCGACUGGUGCUCGUCGUUUUACGUGCCGGAUUGCCAGGGAAAGAGUGGGCGUAGCCGUCUAUCUCCCCGUGGAAAUCCACCGCACAAGUUUAGCCUUGUUGUGGUGCUUUACAAUACUUGGCUUCCUGAACAUUGUCAUUAGAGGGUUCUCUCAGAGAAUGUAUCAUUUUUCUGGCAUUUCUCUCUUUUUAUUCUUUGGUUUGAAUAGAUACAAGCUUCACGAGACGAGAGCGUCGAGUCGCUUGAAGCACUGAUGCCACACUAGUCAGAUUCAUUGGCUCUUCAUUGGAGUUUUGCAUUCGUUGUUGAAUGUUGAGAUUAAGAUCCUCUUCUCAUUGUGACAAUUCCUCAGAAUAUAAUAGUGUAACCUUUACGUUUUAGUUUGGACACUAUGGACACUUACCUGUUGGGAAAAUGGUUCUGAAACAAUAUCCAAUAACUUAUUACACAUUUAUUAAUAGAUUACCAACGUCUACAUAAUCCAUAACAAAUACCAAGAUUUUGCAAACUGACAGCCGCAAACCUGCUCUUAUUUUCAUCAUAGCUGAUAAUUAAAUUAUUUACAAAAUAGUAUUAAAGAAAUGUACUACAAUUACAGAAUUAUAUAGAGUGGCUUUUUGGAACAGAAAUGAAAAUUAAUUUUCACAACUUCAUCUGCAUACAAAGUGGUUUGUGGGAUGGGAGCCAGAGCCUUCAGUGAUCAAGCUCCUCUUUUGUGAAACCAGCUUCCGCCUUCACUCCGGGGUGGGGGGGCAGACACAGUCCCAUUUCAGACAAAGCUUAUUAAGACUUUCCUCUUUGAUUAUGCGUAUGGUUAUAGGCUCAGGUUAGCCUGGGCCAGCCCUUAGGUAAGAUGCUAUAGGUGGAGACUGCCGGGGGAUUUCUCAGGACACAACCAGCUCCCUCACCCCUUCCCUCUCUCUCUCUUUCUAUAAAAACACAGACCUCAUUAAUGCACAUCGCUAACUUUGUUUCUUUCAGUGUUUGUGCUUUGAGGCCUCGCCGGUUCUAUCUAGACCCCGUUUGUGCCUCCUGCCACCUGCUCCUGCUAUCACUAUCACUGUUCAUAUGAAUCAUAUAACUAUUACUGUCCUCAUAAACCAACUGGCUUUCCCUCCCAACAGGUUUCGGUGGACAGUGGUUAUAUCUCCCAGAGGUUUACUCCCUUUUUUCGUUGUUCCUGUGCCGAUCUGAGGGUUUCGGGACAGAGGAUGUCGCACGUGUACAGACUUUAAAGCCCUCUGAGGCAAACUUGUACUUUGUGAUUUUUUUGGCUGUACAAAAUAAAAUUAAUUCAGAAUUCAAACCCUAUAAUCUGGGUACAUUUUUCCACUGUCUGACAGUUUUUUUCUAACGUCAGAAUUCUUUUGAGAUAGAAAGAAAAGCCAAAGCCUCAAAAAAACGGAAUCUCAGUCAUUUUCAAUUUUUUAAAUUUCAGAACAGGAAUUUUCUUCUAAAGUGGAAUCCAGUUGCAAAACACCAGCGGGGCAUUACUAGUUGCACUAACAUCUGCCAAGUUAGCCAACGUGGACAUCUUUUAUAGCUCUGCUAACGUCCGUCUGCCUCGGCAUACAGGGACUUUCCUUUUUCCAUCCGCUCCACAUCUGCUUUUAGUCAGGGCCUGAGGUCCCUCCAUCCUCUCCCUCCGCCUUCCCCAUUCCCUUCCAUCCCUUCAUCCCUCCUGCCCUUCAGCUUUCUGUUCUCUUGCCAGGACUGUAAUCAAGCCUUCAGCUUGUGGCGAGGGCCUACCCCCCUCUCAGCCCGUAAAAGCCACCAACAGACUAAACUAUGAGCGAAAUCGAGGGAAGAGAACAGAAGGAGGCGAGCGGGGUGUGAGAGAUAGUCAUUAAAACUUUGCCCCGUACGCUAAGAGAACACCAGCAUAAUGUUUUAAAUACAGGGAUUGUUGCACUGUGUUUGGGUAAACAUUACGGUUGAAAGUUCAGGCACCGUCUAAAAUUGCAGGGCAGGAACAGAAUGGGAACUAAUGAAAAACAUGUGCACCUCACAUUCCACUCAUAGCGUCGUCUGAUAAAGGCCUUUGUCAGAAUGUUUGGUGGUUGGCAAAGACGUGGGAGUUGCUAUUAUGCAUAUUGUGCUGACGUAUUUCAAAGUGAUUAGGCCACCUUUUAAAGUUGUCCUUAGGGGUUGAACGUAGCUGCUUUUGUACGCUUUCCCCCGUCUCCAAUGUCAUCUUCCUUUUGCCAGAGGGCACGGUGCAACGGCCUUCUCCUCGCUCCUGAUCAACGCCCGCUCACAUGACAUGACUGCAACCGCAGACCACUAUUCUGGACUGUCUUUUGGUUGGAUGUGAUGUUAUUAGCUCUGCCUUCCAUGGCCAGGUGCACGUGAAAUGUGUCAUUGCUACUGGAAAACAAUACCGAGGCACAGAUGAUGCAGGGCUGAAAUGCACACAUUUAGGAUGGACACAAUGUAAGCACCAUAUAGAGCCGAGUAGUCGAGGGCGGUACAGCUGUGGGGUGAUGUGGGCCUUAAAUUUGAGUGAAAGCAAAAAGUUUAUUUCCUGUAAAAAAGAUUAAGGGAAAAGUAAAAGCUGAUUUGGGCAAAAGGAUUUGAAAAAAAAGUUCAGUUCCGACAUCAGAAGAUCCCCCUCCAAUAUUUUUAGCCAUCCAAAUAUUUGUUUGCCUUUUUAAACCAAAUUUAAAUAAAAUAGGUUCACUUUAUUUUCUAAAGACAUUUGUAAAGGAAGAUCCAUGGCAGGAAAUCUGCCCAAAUCCUUGGAAAAUCCAAUAAUAUUUGCACAGAGCUUAAAACAUGCAAAGUCCCUGCGUACGAAUUAAGCUGGAAAGGAAAGCCCUGCUGGUUAUGCAUUAAAAUGGAUUGGAAGCGAGGUUUGACUCCUACAGGUAAAAGCCCUGGAGUGACGACUGAUUUUGCACUUUGACGAGACAAAUACGAAAGAUGUCCCUUCACUGAUGUCCAACUCCCCACUGUGCUGCAGGAUAAUCUGUUUGGCAGCGCUGCACAUCGCUCACUGACCCUCUCAAGCUCUCACAGCUACCUUAGAAAAAGCAAGCACAAAGAGAUCUUCUACUGUACGUGGCACAAGGCCAUUGAUGUGUGGUGCACAUGUAACGGAUACACUCCAUUGUGACAGACGGGAACGAGAAGAGAGACAAGCUUGUGCAAGAAAAGGGACAAGAACACCUUUCCGGCUAUUAUGGACUAUUGAAGUCCAUAAGAGGCGGAAAGGUUUUCUCUUGCAGAUGCGCUACCAAGGCCAGCGCUGAUUACAGGACGCAUCCUGACACAGAACGCUUGCGUGCCGUCAACGCAGGGACAACAAAUAUAGAGUUUAUAGCACAUUAAGAAUUGAACAGGCAAUCUUGUCACGCAAUUAAUGGCGUCUGAAAACAAGCUCUAUUUGCGUUGAAAGCACUCCAACAUGAAUGUAGGCCACGACUGUUGUGUGCUUUGUUUUCCGCUGAUUCGCCCUUGAGGAUCACAGUUCCAGAACUCGCACACUUCACAAAGCUUCCCUGCGAGUUGCUCUUCCCCCCCUUACAUGUUCGUGUGUGAAAACCACAAGGCGUAUCUACAGUUACAGUUCCUCUUCUGUUUGUCCACAAAGAAUAGCCAAGGUGAUUCUGAUUAUACGUAACAGUGUUUGACAUUGACAAGCUGUUCAGGACACAAAGUAUUACACUACUUUGAGUGUGUGCCUGUGUGGGAUUCGGAUAUUUACGUUGGAAAAUGAUCAUUGUAAAACACCCAAGUCUCCUUAAUUUUCAUGUUGGCUUAAGUAUAUUUAUCAAUCUUCUGGUUCAUCAGUAAUGUGGACCCUGUAGCUCAGGGAUCCCCAACCAGCGGGCACCACAGAAAGAAUUUGUUUUUCUUUUCUGAAACAUGUUUUAUUUUGAAAAUUGCCCGGAUCCUCUCUAAUUAUGUGCGCUCGUCCCUCUUCACGUAUUCACCAAGCGUCACCAAGCGUUUUUCUUCACGUUUACAAUUGUCUUACGGGGCACGGCAGUUUCGCCCACCAGCGAACAGACGGCGCACGAUUCCGCCUUCUUUACCGGUCCGCGAAGUAUUGUCUAACAUGAAAACGGUCUGUGAGGUAAAAAAAAAAGGUUGGGGACCACUGCUGUAGCUGAGUGAUGACCACAAAGAAGCUUUAGGCUUACGUGCAUGCAGGUGUAAUGUAAAAGUGACCCUUUUUUUUGCCCUUUCAACACACGACAGGAUACACACACAAAUAUAUACACAUACAUACAUAUAAACCGAUACACACAAGAAAGAAACAAAAAAAAAGGGAUGUCUGGAUGUUUGUGUCCGCUCAAUAACGAGAUAAAUCCAGAGACAACAUUCAUGUGCUCUUCUCUUGUCACAUCUUCCAUUUCUCCCACUGGUCACGACAUUGUUCCUCUUUGCUUGUUAUUUUGUGGGAAACUUACCACACUUCCAUCUUUGAUAACUGUGCAUAUUGCUGUUAUUCCAUAUGAGAUCCAUUUAAACCUCUGAUCAAGAAAACCUGGAAUAAAAUGUGUAUCAUAGGCUACCCGUCGUAGCACUCUAAUACUUUCACUCACAAAAAAUUCCUGCCAUACUUGGGGAGGUCAGGCGUAAGUUCCCCCGUGUAGCUGUUUCAACUGGCCUUCUGCAACUAGGAACAGGAAGAAGGGGAAAGCCAUACAGCAAACCAGGACAUGACACUUGUACUUGAUCCAUGAGCUGGAUUGUGAAGGUUUGAUCAGCAGGAGGUCCAUAGCAACCUCUUGGGAAAGGAAUCUGGUCUCAGGUGGAGGUCUCUAGGGGAAUGCACAUGUGUGUUUUGUUCCCAUAAGUGUCAAGGCCAAAGAAAACAGCUAUGUGAAAUUGAUUUCGAAGGAGAAGCUAUGAGUGCAGUUUCUUAAACACAACUCAUCAGACGUUUUCCAGGAGAAGGUUAAUGUUGUACAUAUACAGCCUGUAAACUAGCUACUCCUAUACAUCCGCAGAUGCAGCUUAGCUUAAGAGAAUGGAGACAAUGAACAUAAAGCUUAAAUCACGUCAUUGUAAAAGUGGUGCAUUAAAGACAGCACGUCUCACAUCCACACUUCCAGAAAAUCCAAUAAUACCAAAGAUCCACACAUGAACAACAUGAAUUUCACAUGUUGCAACCUCAUAAUAUUAUUCUCAAGGAGAUACUGGUACAGAUUAACACAGUGUACAUGAAAGACCACUGAUGCCUCGCUCACAUGUGACCAAAAGUAAUCAGAUUUAGAUUCAAGUGAUCAAACUGUAAUUAAUCAUGUGAAGAGGGAAAUGAUCCUUGACGGGGCUCCAGCUGCGAGAUGCCUCUGUUUGGUCCCGCGUGCCCCUCUUACAGGGGGUCCAACGGGGCUACAUUAAGAGGCUUUGUGCCAAUGUCACCUAAAUUACAGUCACUUAACACAACAGAUGUACUGAAUGUCGAGCAAAUGAUUCGCCGUGGUUGGGGUGGUGCAUUCACAUGCAUGGAAUAAAUUUGACCCAAUGUAUCAAACAUGUUUUUCUUGCAUCCUCUCCCCCUCAGUAAAUUUGCAUUUUGCUAUAUGAUGAGCAUGCUCCACUAACCCACACUGCCUUGUAUCUCAAUCUCCAAUAUAUGGUUCUUUUAUUUGCUGGCCUCUACGGCCUCCAAUGCAACGUUUUGCACUUAAAAAAAUAAACAUAUUUAUUCCAGUGGAUCAGUUUGAGGAGAUUUUCUCUGCUCUUAAAGGCUCAGCAGUAGAUAUGCCAGCUGGCUUAGUUCAGAAGAUUAUUUUUCUCUUUGUGUGGCAGACUCCUCAGUGGAGGUAGAGGCAGAUACAGGUAUUCAGAUGGGAGCCACGCGGACUGGGCCAUUGUGCUUUCCUGCACGUAGGAACAGAGCGUUCUUGCAUUGCAGGUACAGAGGGGGACAAUAACCCAGGGUUGCAGGCACAAAUUGCAUUCAUCAACUUUAUCAAUAGAGUGAAAAUUUAAGCCAAUCCUACCAACAUAUCCACCCCCUUCUUCAUAAGUCUUCAAUGCACAAGUUAAUUCUGCAUACACUGAGAGAAAUGAUCUGCUCACAAUUAUGCUUUCUCGGAUGGGAUAUUUGAUCGAACCAACACAGCUACUGCCACCGCUCUUGCAACAAUCCCCCCAAAUCAGUGACGAUCUAAUUUCUUUAAUACGAAAAGCAAUGCAUUGAUGCCAUAGCCCCUCUUUUCAUGUGUGUGAGAGACGGCGAGAGGGAGAGAGAGAGAGAGAGAAAGAGGGAGACAGGGAAGGAAGGGGCGGGAGAUUAUAGGCAGUUUAAAAGAUGAAACCCUUCAGUCUGUAAUUGUACUUUACUGGGAGAAAGAAUAAAGCAAGAGGAGAGGCAUUCUGAAAAAUCAUAAGCCAUUAUGUUGGAAAAAGAGUUUGUGGGGCGGGGCGUGUGUCCACAUAAAGCACUGCUGAGAACCUCCAGCAAAUUACCCCGCAGGCCUGCGCGGAGGGGGAAAUAUCACUAAUUGGCCUCCAUUCUGUCAGGUCAAUUGACUCUAAUUGGAAAAAUAAUAAAAAGCACCCUACCCCAGGAGCAGCAAGCUCUGAAAGCGACAGCGCCCGUUUUGGAAAUGGAUAAGGUGGGUUGAUGGAUGGCGGGGGAGGAGGGGGGGGGUGGGGUGCUCGGCUACACAUAUACGGCAUCUGAAAUCUAUUUUUGCCUCCACCAUUCCUCCUUGAAAACUAUAGCAUGCCUUCCCCCUGCCACACACCUUAAUGUAUGUAAUAAAACUGCCUCCGGAUGUGCAUGUCUGUAGGGGGGAGGGGGUCAUCUGGUCAGUUACUAUUGAAUUGUCUCCGCGCAGAGCUCAGUAAUUUGGAGUUAAAUGAGCGUGGUGGGGAGACAGGCCACAUACAAGAGUGGGGAUAUGCAGAUGGGGAACAAGGAAGUGUUGAAUAUGAGCAAUGCCCCAGGUGUUGGCAGACAAGAGGGAAUAGAGCUAAUCUACUAUCUACAUUACUAAGUUAUUGGAGAUGAAUGGCUCUGCUAAUACACACUGCUCAUUGGCGGAUGCAGCCGUUUGAGGGGCUCAGAAGUUGUAAUUUAGUUUGAAUCGAGUGUUUCCGCAAACUAGAUAGAUAAGAUCACAUGUGUGCCCCUCCUCUUGUGUGUUUUUAUUUACGCCCAGAACUAAUUGAAUGAUCAAUUUAAUAGAUGGGGUCAAUUAAAUAUGAAUUUAAAUACAUCUUCCAAAAUGUUUAGGCAGCUUUUCUGUUUUUAUCCAAAAGUAUAACCGGAAAUCAUUUUGUAGAUGAAUUACUAUUACUGAGGAG
This is a long non-coding RNA of Gasterosteus aculeatus aculeatus (three-spined stickleback), 9522 nucleotides long. NCBI's taxonomy places the organism in Eukaryota, Metazoa, Chordata, Actinopteri, Perciformes, Gasterosteidae. The record is from Ensembl.